RNAcentral lists this ribosomal RNA (253 nucleotides) under uncultured bacterium. RNAcentral describes it as "partial 16S ribosomal RNA". It matches the Rfam family "Bacterial small subunit ribosomal RNA", at positions 524 to 776 of the family's 1533-position model. The record is from RNAcentral.
UACGUAGGGUGCGAGCGUUAAUCGGAAUUACUGGGCGUAAAGUGUGCGCAGGCGGCAGAGCAAGUCGAGUGUGAAAGCCCCGGGCUUAACUUGGGAAUUGCGCUCGAAACUACUUUGCUGGAGUGUGGCAGAGGAAGGUGGAAUUCCACGUGUAGCGGUGAAAUGCGUAGAUAUGCGGAGGAACACCGAUGGCGAAGGCAAUCCCCUGGGCCUGCACUGACGCUCAUGCACGAAAGCGUGGGGAGCGAACAGG